UAGGAGCUGGUGGGAUUGGACGGUGGGUACACAAUGGUACUGUAGUUUUACCCGAAAUGCCCUUCUAGUACUACUCGGGCUGUGCCCUCGCUCGUGGACGAUGGACCGGCGGCGAGCUUGUCCGGUGAGGGGCGGCAAGCUUCCGCCUGACCACUCGAGCUUGACUCCACCACAAGGACUGGCUCGAGACUCCUUGGUCCACCCCGCGCCGGAUCUUGAAGCUAUGGCGCGCGUCGGCGUCGAGAAGGAGUGAGAGGAGUGGGAGUAGGAAGGUGAGCAGCGACAUGGUGCGUGGGUCAGCGCGGGAAGGGUCCACGGCCACCAAAUCCGGCAGCCCUCCGCCUCCUAGGCGAUAGAUCGGACGGCCCUGUUCCUCCUAGCGCUGGAUAAUUCGUGUGGAUGUCCAUGGCGAUGUGAUGUCGCCAGCGCAGCGUAGCUGCUAGUCUCGAUCCAUGUCUCAGCGAGGUAGGGAGGAGGCACUGGGUUGACGAGGACCGAGGACAGCGCAGCCCGGCGGUGGCUGCUUCCGCUGCCCCCAAGUAAGCGCUGAAGCUGAUGAUCUGGGCAUCCGGCAGAUAAAGCUGUUGCGGAACCAGCGGUGCGCACAUAAUUUCGGAAUCGCAUCCCCCAUGAGAGUAGGCCGACAUGGAGGAUUUCUGCAGCUACCUCAUCCUUCGCCACUGCAUGUUCCUCCCGAUCUCUCUCUCCCCUCUCUCUGGCGAGGAAACAGUCAUGGAAGGUCCUGCCUUGAUGUGAAAAAUUAUUUGGUUGAUCUUGAGAAAAAAAAAUCCCAGUUCAUGUGCAUGCUCUUUGUAUUUCGCUUGCUGCAUUUUUUUUAGUGAAUUGAACUUUGAGCCACCUUUGAUUACCAUUGUUACAAUUUGGACUAGGCUAAAGCUAAAUUUUUCAAUUUGGGCAAAGUAUCUUUACAUGAUGUUUCAAUUUGGACUCCCUUCUUCUUCCUCCAACUCUCUUCCCCCAAUCUCCCCUUCAAUCUGUAAAAUCUUCCAAAGAAUUCAAAGGGUAGUUUGCAUUUUCAAUCUCGACUACCUAGUGCUUGUGGCUUAAUUUCAAGGACAGCGGAAGGUGCACAACAAGUAUUCCUACUGGUAGCAACUAGCAUACGAAGAAGCUGGCCGGCAAUGGCAGACAGUUGCUGCUACUUUCUGAACUGACGAUAAGAACUAAGUCAAGUAGCAGAUAGCCACGCUCUCAAGCUCAUGCUCGACCUCAGCUAGUGCUACAUGUUAUGCUGCACGCCUGCGCUAAAUUUCCACAUGUGUCGCUCGAGCUUCAACAAGUUUUGCAGCGCUCAAGCUCCGCCUUCGUAGUGCCGCCUGCAUUUGAGCUCGAAAUCAACUUCGGCGGGUGGCUACCCUGUGAAAGGUUUUGCUUCUUGCCUUUUCAUGCACUGCACCUGAUCGAGAAAGAGACCUUGAGCUGUACGGAGAAAAGAGAGGAAGAAAGGGAGUUGGAGGAAGAAGAAGAGAGUCUAAAUUGAAACAUUGUGUAAACAUACCCGGUUCAAAGUGAAAAGUUUACUUUUUCACUGGUCUAAGUUACAGUACAGGUAAGAAAAAAUAGCCCAAGAUGCAAUUUACUGUUUUUUUUCUUUCCAGUUCCAGUUCUCGAAGGCUAGCUGUUGGCCUGUUGCUGGGUGCUACUGCUACCUUCUUCUCAUGUUUCUCGAGAAGGUUAUUGCCUUCCUUAUGUUCCGUUCUAUAAUAUAUCUUCCGGUUAUUUUGAUUUCA
This is a long non-coding RNA of Oryza sativa Japonica Group (Japanese rice), 1751 nucleotides long. RefSeq lists it as uncharacterized. NCBI's taxonomy places the organism in Eukaryota, Viridiplantae, Streptophyta, Magnoliopsida, Poales, Poaceae. The record is from RefSeq and is a predicted model, not a curated record.